GAGUCUCAGUGAUUUAGCUGGGGUAGUGUGACCAAUGGCAUCCAGGAUGUGAAGCUUCUUUCUGUUCAGUUCUAUAUUAGAUCAUAUACCACUCCAGAGGUCACAAGGUCAAGGGUGAAGUCCUACCCAAUCCUAAUGUUAUUUGUUUACAAUUACUGUACCUAUGUGUGUUUCCUCUAGUGCAGGCCUGGCCUCUCUACCAUGUUUGAAUUCUGCCUUUGGAUUGCUCUUAGUAGAAAAGAAGCUGAAGAUCAAGAUGUGGAAAGAAUAGCAAAUCUCUUAGUGAAGAAACAGUCAAGAAAAUUACUGCUCUCUUAAAGAGAAACAUUAAUUAAAGAUUAUCCAAAGGUGAUACCCAUUAAGUGGAAUCCCAAAAGAAGAGAACACUCACAUGAUGACAGAAGUGCAUGCUGCUCACUUUUGAAGAAAACAUACCCCACAGAUAGGAGAACUCUACCAGUGAAUCUAAAAGCUGUGUGUUCCCUGACUCUCUUAGCUUCCUGGACACAAAAGCAAGUGGCAUGUGACAUUCGCUUUCUUCCAAGCCAUUGUCCAUGUUUAUAUAAUGUUUCACAACGUUGCAUCACAGUUCUGUUUGAAUCCUUGGAACCAAGGCAACGGGAAGAAUGAAUUCUGCUGAUCACCGCAAAGAGACAGAAGAGGCUUUGGCCAGAAAGUUCUUUUUUUAGUUACCAAAGCUCUGGAAUAUUCACCUGCUGGAGUAUUACAUGGAUGUCAAUCGUUCAACUGUGGCUGAGGUUUACAAGAACAGGAGAUGGAUGUCACAACUUCUGGUUUAUAUGGUGACAGCACUUUUAAUGUAUAUUUGAGGAACCAUCCUUUUCUACACUCCAUGGACCUAUUUUCCACAACUGACCUGCCAAGUCUCGGGGGGUGCAACACCCUGAAGAUGUCAAAGCCAGACCCAACAUCUACUCGGAAGACACCGAGGAACGUAUCUCUCUAGGUAUGUCAAUUAUGGAACAACCACUGACUCUGGAAUGCUAUCAGGACCCUAGAUUAUCGAAUGGCUGCAUCUGUGUCGGAUCUUUGGAGAAGGAUGCAAGAUUCAAGAAUUUCUGUGAUGACAUAUCUAAAAACCCCUGCACACAGACUCAGCAUAAUCCCCUAUAAUAGCAACCACAAAGGCAAGCAUACACAAGCAUUCUUUAUCUUUCUCUCUUCAUUUUUGUCUAUCAGAUCUCAUAAUUAUUUACCUUAUUUUUCAUCCUAUCCAGUAGCCAUUUCCCCCAGUUAAUUAGUAAAAGAAUUACACAUUCAUCUUAAUCAUAUCCUUAACUGGAAUAUGUUCCACAUAAAAUUGAAGAUGAUUUUCAAGGAAAGUAAUAAAGCCACACAUUUGUAGGUUGACGUUUAGGCUUUAA
Molecule: long non-coding RNA, 1385 nt
Organism: Leopardus geoffroyi (Geoffroy's cat)
Lineage: Eukaryota; Metazoa; Chordata; Mammalia; Carnivora; Felidae
Exons: 10
Source: RefSeq, a predicted model, not a curated record